UAUUAAAAAUCGCAUCUAUUUCUACAGUUGAAAAUUAACAUGCAUGAUAGAAUAACUAUACAAUUACAUAUAACAUGUCACGUAUAUCUCAUUCUGAUGUACAUGGACUAAUUUUUAGUUGCAAAAAUAGAUAAAACUUUAAACA
Molecule: non-coding RNA, 145 nt
Organism: Gossypium raimondii (Peruvian cotton)
Lineage: Eukaryota; Viridiplantae; Streptophyta; Magnoliopsida; Malvales; Malvaceae
Source: Rfam